CGUUCUAUGGCCGAACUAGUGAAGGGAUCGCCGAUUACACGCGAAGAUGCGGGUUCGAGUCUCGCUGGAACUG
RNAcentral lists this transfer RNA (73 nucleotides) under Operophtera brumata (winter moth). It matches the Rfam family "tRNA". From Rfam's summary of the family: Transfer RNA (tRNA) molecules are approximately 80 nucleotides in length. Their secondary structure includes four short double-helical elements and three loops (D, anti-codon, and T loops). Lineage: Eukaryota; Metazoa; Arthropoda; Insecta; Lepidoptera; Geometridae. The record is from Rfam by way of RNAcentral.